UAAUGCGUGACCAGAGACCGGCAGAGGCAAACGGAAUCUCCGGAGUACCGGUCAAAUGCGCAGAGAUCAGAAAGAACACCGAUGCCGAAGGCAGUCUCACUAGGCCGCAUCUGACGCUGAGAGGCGAAAGCUAGGGGAGCAAACAGGAUUAGAGACCCUGGUAGUCCUAGCUGUAAACGAUGGAUGAUAGGUGAGGGCCGGAAAGGUCCGUGCAGUAGUUAACGCGAUAAGCAUCCCGCAUGGGGAGUACGACCGCAAGGCUAAAACUCAAACGAAUGGACGGGGACCCGCACAAGCAGCGGAGCGUGUGGUUUAAUUCGAUGUUACACGCAGAACCUUACCUGGGCUUGACAUGUAGAUGAUACUGAAGUGAAAGCGGAGCGACCUUUUGGGGAGCCUACACAGGUGCUGCAUGGCUGUCGUCAGCUCGUGCCGUGAGGUAGUCGGGGUAAGUCCCGUAACCGAGCCGCAACUCCUUGUCUUUAAGUUACAAGUGUCUAAGGAGGCUGCCGGUGACAAACCGGAGGAAGGUGGGGAGGACGUCAAGUCAGCACGGCCCGUAUGUCCAGGGCGACACACACGC
This 583-nucleotide ribosomal RNA is filed under the name uncultured organism. RNAcentral describes it as "bacterial SSU rRNA". It matches the Rfam family "Bacterial small subunit ribosomal RNA", at positions 631 to 1225 of the family's 1533-position model. The record is from RNAcentral.